GAUGAACGCUGGCGGCGUGCCUAACACAUGCAAGUCGAACGGAGUCCAGCCUUUAAGACCUUCGGGUCAAAGAGGGGAAGACUGAGUGGCGGACGGGUGAGUAACACGUGGGCAACCUGGCUCAUAGAGGGGGAUAACAGAGAGAAAUUUCUGCUAAUACCGCAUAAGCACACACUGCCGCAUGGCAGAGGGUGAAAAGAGAAUCGCUAUGAGAUGGACCCGCGUCUGAUUAGCCAGUUGGCAGGGUAAGAGCCUACCAAAGCGACGAUCAGUAGCCGAUCUGAGAGGAUGAACGGCAACAUUGGGACUGAGACACGGCCCAAACUCCUACGGGAGGCAGCAGUGGGGGAUAUUGCACAAUGGGGGGAACCCUGAUGCAGCGACGCCGCGUGAGUGAAGAAGUAUUUCGGUAUGUAAAGCUCUAUCAGCAGGGAAGAUAAUGACAGUACCUGAAUAAGAAGCCCCGGCUAACUACGU
Molecule: ribosomal RNA, 477 nt
Filed under: uncultured bacterium
Lineage: Bacteria
Description: partial 16S ribosomal RNA
Rfam family: Bacterial small subunit ribosomal RNA
Source: RNAcentral